GCCGACAUAGCUCAGUUGGUAGAGCAACCGCCUUGUAAGCGGUAGGUCCCCAGUUCGAAUCCGGGUGUCGGCACCA
Molecule: transfer RNA, 76 nt
Filed under: Rhodocyclaceae bacterium
Lineage: Bacteria; Pseudomonadati; Pseudomonadota; Betaproteobacteria; Rhodocyclales; Rhodocyclaceae
Also listed under: 1 other name
Description: tRNA-Thr
Rfam family: tRNA
About the family: Transfer RNA (tRNA) molecules are approximately 80 nucleotides in length.
Source: RNAcentral